ACCUUACGUCAUGUUGGCUGUCGUGAUUCUGGUUAAUUUCUUCGCAAAAUGGUAAUAUUUUUCAUCCUUCCAAGUAAAAUAUUGUUAGUGUCUUACAGUCUAUCAAGUGUUGUUGACUCAGUGAACAAUCAAAAUAGAGCUGAGUUUGUUGCUUUGUCAUUAUGCAAAGAUUCUUAUUUGGUUAGGGGAAAAGAUUCUACAAUCGAUGCAUAAUUUGCGUAUGGUGCUCAGUAAACAUAGUAUUUCUUUUCAAUUAUUUCUUAAGCAAAAUUAAGGUCACCCCUGUCUACCCUACAGGUUACUCAGGAAUACAAUUUGUGUUUACAAAACGUUCAGCUAGCUAACUUACAUCGUGGUUUACUAAUGAGAAACCUGCAAUUUUUCAGAAUGAAAUGAAAACCACAUUUUCUUUUGACAUCUGAUUAACCGGCCAAAUGGAGGCCAUUGUCAGCAGUUUUAAUUUAGGUUGUUUUUAUCGAGCGUCAGUCCUCAGCCAAAUAUUAAUAUACCGUCUCAUCGACAUUGACGCCCAUUUCUGGAAACAAAGGCUGAUAAGCAAAGUUGGAAUCAACAGUUGGAACAGAAAUGGCGCAAUAAAACCCGACAUGAUACGUUUAGUACGCCUUGGAAGUUGUUGCACUGAUUUUAGUCAACAUUGAUGAUGUAUUGUGCCGGGGUGUGUUACCUGAAAAAUCACAAACUAUCCACUCGUCGAUCCGAGUGUAGCGCAUGCGAUGUCUGCGGUUUCCUUCCAUUCCGAUUCAACAAAUAAGUUUCCUGGUUUGCCAUUUUGUUGUUUCUCAUCUUUCGUUUCGUACAAGUUGUAUUCUUUUGCGCUUUUGCGCGUACAGAUGUAGACGAAAGGAUUUGGCGAAUAUAAGAAAUGAUGA
This 890-nucleotide long non-coding RNA is filed under the name Daphnia pulicaria. RNAcentral describes it as "uncharacterized LOC124350242, transcript variant X1". Lineage: Eukaryota; Metazoa; Arthropoda; Branchiopoda; Diplostraca; Daphniidae. The record is from RNAcentral.